Molecule: long non-coding RNA, 549 nt
Filed under: Aquilegia coerulea
Lineage: Eukaryota; Viridiplantae; Streptophyta; Magnoliopsida; Ranunculales; Ranunculaceae
Description: long non-coding RNA (ACOE_LNC000760)
Source: RNAcentral
UCAGCUUUACUUAAGUGAAAAGUAGCUGCUAAUGUUUGAAUUUGAUGUUGUUGUUGAGAAUUGGUAUCAAGAGGAAAUUGAGUUUCUGGUGGAAUUAAUGGAACUGUUGCUGUUUGUUGUGGAAAAUACUUCAAUCUAAUCUUACAAAAACAUGGUGAACUUGAUGGAUGUACAACUGAACGUGCUGGUUUUGAUGCUACUGGAAUUUUUAAAGCUAAGUUUCCAAUUAGAAUUCGAACAAACGGACAUGGAUCCAUUAUUCUUAGGGUUUUGAGGUUUGAAGAACUUUGAACAAGCUACCUAGCUAGCUUUCUUCUUUCCUUCGAUCUUGGAGAAGAUAAAAGAAAGAAGUAGUAGUUAAGAAGAAGAAGAAGAAGAAGAAAUAGAAAGAAGAUGAGUUGUUAUUGUUGUUGUUGUUGUUGUGAUUGUUGCUAACGUGAACCAGGCUGGAGAAAGAGAAGAAUAAUCCAUAGGAAAGCGUGCUGUGAAGGAAGAAGAGUUGGAGAAAGCUUUGAGCUUAUGCUGAGCUGGUGCGGGUUUCGGGUCUGA